RNAcentral lists this ribosomal RNA (629 nucleotides) under Erysiphe salmonii. Its description in RNAcentral is "eukaryotic LSU rRNA". The stretch from base 255 to 408 matches the Rfam family "5.8S ribosomal RNA". The record is from RNAcentral. Lineage: Eukaryota; Fungi; Ascomycota; Leotiomycetes; Helotiales; Erysiphaceae.
AGACUCAGCUGCGGCAUCUGUCGUGGCCGGAGUCGAACCCCUCCACCCGUGUCGACGUGUAUCUUGUUGCUUUGGCGGGCCGGGUUGCCCGACGCAAGUGCCGCUGGACCAGAAGCUGCUUUGCGGCGGUUUGGCGCGCGCGGUGCUGUGCCGCCCACCGGCUCCGGCCGGAGCGUGUCCGCCAGAGAUAUAAAUAAAUCAAAACUCGUGUUGUUCUGUAGUCUAAGGCAAAAGAUUUUAAUCACAAUUGAUAAAACUUUCAACAACGGAUCUCUUGGCUCUGGCAUCGAUGAAGAACGCAGCGAAAUGCGAUAAGUAAUGUGAAUUGCAGAAUUUAGUGAAUCAUCGAAUCUUUGAACGCACAUUGCGCCCCUUGGUAUUCCGAGGGGCAUGCCUGUUCGAGCGUCAUAACACCCCCCUCAAGCCCUGCUUUUGCGAGUGAGUGUGCUUCGGUGUUGGGGCGCGUCGAAUUCGUUCGGCGGCCCUUAAAGACAGUGGCGGUAACGGCGAGAGCUCUACGCGUAGUACUUUACAUCUCGCGACAGGAGCGUCGUCGGCGACUAGCCAAGUUCAACCACCCCCUUUCACAUACCAAGUUGUAUCAAAGGUGACCUCGAAUCAGGUAGAUC